AGCGAACGCUGGCGGCAGGCUUAACACAUGCAAGUCGAACGCAUCCUUCGGGGUGAGUGGCAGACGGGUGAGUAACGCGUGGGAACAUGCCCUUUGGUUCGGAAUAACUCAGGGAAACUUGAGCUAAUACCGGAUAAGCCCUUUUGGGGAAAGAUUUAUCGCCGAAGGAUUGGCCCGCGUCCGAUUAGCUAGUUGGUGAGGUAAUGGCUCACCAAGGCGACGAUCGGUAGCUGGUCUGAGAGGAUGAUCAGCCACACUGGGACUGGUACACGGCCCAGACUCCUACGGGAUGCAGCAGUGGGGAAUGUUGGACAAUGGGGGCAACCCUGAUCCAGCCAUGCCGCGUGAGUGAUGAAGGCCCUAGGGUUGGAAAGCUCUGUCGGCGGGGACGAUAAUGACGGUACCCGCAGAAGAAGCCCCGGCUAACUUCGUGCCAGCCGCCGCGGUAA
RNAcentral lists this ribosomal RNA (449 nucleotides) under uncultured bacterium. Its description in RNAcentral is "partial 16S ribosomal RNA". It matches the Rfam family "Bacterial small subunit ribosomal RNA", at positions 29 to 523 of the family's 1533-position model. The record is from RNAcentral.